CCUACGGGGGGCAGCAGUGGGGAAUAUUGCUCAAUGGGCGCGAGCCUGAACCAGCCAAGUAGCGUGAAGGAUGACUGCCCUACGGGUUGUAAACUUCUUUUAUAAAGGAGUAAAGUGAGGCACGUGUGCCUUUUUGUAUGUACUUUAUGAAUAAGGAUCGGCUAACUCCGGGCCAGCAGCCGCGGUAAUACGGAGGAUCCGAGCGUUAUCCGGAUUUAUUGGGUGUAAAGGGAGCGUAGACGGGUUGUUAAGUCAGAUGUGAAAGUUUGCGGCUCAACCGUAAAAUUGCAAUUGAUACUGGCAGCCUUGAGUACAGUAGAGGUAGGCGGAAUUCGUGGUGUAGCGGUGAAAUGCUUAGAUAUCACGAAGAACUCCGAUUGCGAAGGCAGCUUACUAAACUGCCACUGACAUUGAUGCUCGAAAGUGUGGGUAUCAAACAGGAUUAGAUACCCGUGUAGUC
This 460-nucleotide ribosomal RNA is filed under the name uncultured bacterium. RNAcentral's name for it is "partial 16S ribosomal RNA". It matches the Rfam family "Bacterial small subunit ribosomal RNA", at positions 338 to 795 of the family's 1533-position model. The record is from RNAcentral.